RNAcentral lists this ribosomal RNA (497 nucleotides) under uncultured bacterium. RNAcentral describes it as "partial 16S ribosomal RNA". It matches the Rfam family "Bacterial small subunit ribosomal RNA", at positions 28 to 507 of the family's 1533-position model. The record is from RNAcentral.
GAUGAACGCUGGCGGCGUGCCUAAUACAUGCAAGUCGAGCGAACGGACGAGAAGCUUGCUUCUCUGAUGUUAGCGGCGGACGGGUGAGUAACACGUGGAUAACCUACCUAUAAGACUGGGAUAACUUCGGGAAACCGGAGCUAAUACCGGAUAAUAUUUUGAACCGCAUGGUUCAAAAGUGAAAGACGGUCUUGCUGUCACUUAUAGAUGGAUCCGCGCUGCAUUAGCUAGUUGGUAAGGUAACGGCUUACCAAGGCAACGAUGCAUAGCCGACCUGAGAGGGUGAUCGGCAACACUGGAACUGAGACACGGUCCAGACUCCUACGGGAGGCAGCAGUAGGGAAUCUUCCGCAAUGGGCGAAAGCCUGACGGAGCAACGCCGCGUGAGUGAUGAAGGUCUUCGGAUCGUAAAACUCUGUUAUUAGGGAAGAACAUAUGUGUAAGUAACUGUGCAAAUCUUGACGGUACCUAAUCAGAAAGCCACGGCUAACUACGUG